RNAcentral lists this ribosomal RNA (497 nucleotides) under uncultured bacterium. RNAcentral's name for it is "partial 16S ribosomal RNA". It matches the Rfam family "Bacterial small subunit ribosomal RNA", at positions 28 to 507 of the family's 1533-position model. The record is from RNAcentral.
GAUGAACGCUGGCGGCGUGCUUAAUACAUGCAAGUCGAGCGAACGGACGAGAAGCUUGCUUCUCUGAUGUUAGCGGCGGACGGGUGAGUAACAUGUGGAUAACCCACCUAUAAGACUGGGAUAAUUUCGGGACACCGGCGCUAACACCGGAUAAUAUUUUGCACCGCAUGGUUCAAAAGUGAAAGACGGUCUUGCUGUCACUUAUAGAUGCAUCCGCGCUGCAUUAGCUAGUUGGUAAGGUAACGGCUUACCAAGGCAACGAUGCAUAGCCGACCUGAGAGGGUGAUCGCCCACACUGGAGCUGAGACACGGUCCAGGCUCCUACGGGAGGCAGCAGUAGGGAAUCGGCCGCAAUAGGCGAGAACCUGACGGAGCAACGCCGCGUGAGUGAUGAAGGUCUUCGGAUCGUAAAACUCUGUUAUUGGGGAAGAACAUAUGUGUAAGUAACUGUGCACAUCUUGACGGUACCUAAUCAGAAAGCCACGGCUAACUACGUG